UUGGUCACUCGAUAUCUCUCUCACAAUACUCUUCUACAUAAUGCAGUAAGCUUCAAUGAACAAAAUUAAUGGAGAACAAACAUAUUUUUACGUUGCUAAGAGUGGUUGCUAAGACAGAAGCAGCAACAUACACACUCAGUGGCGCAGCGAUACUAAUGUAAUGCGGUCAGCUGUAUGUUUUCGGGAAUUUUACAAAGACUUCGAACGCGGCUCAACCAAUCAGAAUCAAGGGCCGGAACUAUCCAUUUUCUAAUGAAUAACGACUAAAGUUUCACAUAAAACGAUAUGGCUGUUUGAACUACUUUUAUUGUGCUUUCUGUCUUUUUGUGGAGUUUACAGUCAUGGACAUCAUCUACUUUCAUUAGGCCGGAUAUGAGUUUGGAACAACAUGAGGUCUCCACCAUCCCACCCCACCCCUGGUACUGCUGAAAGGAGAGUUCAAGGUUUCAUUCUUCAUUCAAGAGCUUGAUCCUCGUGGUCACUUUUCCAUCUUGUUCCAUCUCAAGGGUACUAAAUGAAGGCGGAGCACUGGAGCCCUUCCAGUCCUCCUGGGGCCCUCAGGAAGGGCUAAGACCACAACGGUGCUCAACAGGAAAGAUUGAUGUUAGCAACCCACGUCACAUCUUAAAGACAUAGGAAGGUGAGAGGGAUUAAACUGUUCUCGGAGAGCAUGCAACUGCCACGCUGAGUCAGCAUUUGACCUACUCGCCAUGCAUCGACUUCACCACAGGCUGCUGCAAAACAGGAGGUCAGCAAAUAAAAGACAGCUGUUUAAUAUCAUACUGUGUUCGUGUAUGCCUUUUUAAUGCAGUCCAUGCAUUCCCUGAACUGAUAUACAGCAGAACUGUAGAUGUAAUGGUUUUUCCAUUUGGCAAGUAUGAAUAGUAAUGCAUUUGCCACGAUGUAGAGCGAAUCAAGAGUGAAAUUGUAUUCAUGAAACAUUCUUUCUCCUAGGUCAUAUAUAAUCUUGGCAUACAUUUAUGUGGCUAUAUAUGCAUGGAACAUUUUGUAGACACUGGUUGUCUAGACUUUAUAUUCUCAAGAACUUUAGGUGAGCAAGACGAUUAAGUAAAAGUGUCUAUAAUCUUGUUCACCAGCUACUGGAUUAACAGUUAAAGGUGCAAUAGGUGAUUCUCUACGGAAACAUUUUUUGUUAUACUGGUUGAAAGUCUCCUCGUAUCCUGAUAGCAAUCGCUAUGUUAAAACAGUCUAAAUGUGUUUUAUAAAUAUAUAUCAUCUGUGGAAGGCGUAGGACCAUAAAAUGUUCAUCCAAUCUUUAUAUUCAGUCUGAAUGAAAUAAUACGAUGUCCUACCUGCCUGUCAACGUAUGUUUUUACAUACCCUCAUGCACCCAAUUUGCGCAGACAUCAUACGUCAUCAGCACGUUUCAUGCUAUGCAGAAUUUAUGUAGACAAACGUCAGUCACGGAGCACCACAAACAAAAAGCAGCCACCUUUAACAGUUCCUCCAAAACAACGAACUUAUGCUGCGUUCACGCCAUAACUACUGUGAUUAAGAGAUUGCAACCCGUGACAUUCUAACCGGAGCUGUUCGGUCAGACUCGGAAUUAUGCGUUUCCAUGUCAACAGUAUCAACACCGAAAUGAAUCUGCAGCAGUCAGGUACCAGCUCUCUAAGUUGUUUACGUUCAUUAUUAUUGUAAAGUUGUGUGCUUUGAGACAUGAGGUAGUUUAACGUCGUCUCUUUGCCGAGAGCAGCUGUGUGUGUGUGUUUUGGAGGAGGCGUGGCUUUGGACGGCGAUUUGCUGGGAUCUAAUGCUUUCAAUGCUAGCAGGCUAACGUUAGCAUUUCGCAGAUCACCUACUGCACCUUUAGUUACAGUACGAAAUGCAUGGGAUUUCAUAAAGUUGUACAUUUUGAAACUAGUUCUUAUUUUAAAGGGUUCAUUCUUUGGGAAGAUCUGUAAAAGCAUGCCACACACUUCAGCACAGGGGGCAUUAUUCUUUCUUUGUUCUUCUAGAAAUAAUUUUCAAAUUUCCAAAACAAAUCCUCAUUACUUCACAGUGAACAGGACAGCACCUUACGUUGGUAACAC
Ctenopharyngodon idella (grass carp) is the source of this 2054-nucleotide long non-coding RNA. RefSeq lists it as uncharacterized. The record is from RefSeq and is a predicted model, not a curated record. The transcript has 3 exons. Lineage: Eukaryota; Metazoa; Chordata; Actinopteri; Cypriniformes; Xenocyprididae.